This 469-nucleotide ribosomal RNA is filed under the name uncultured Paracoccaceae bacterium. RNAcentral's name for it is "bacterial SSU rRNA". It matches the Rfam family "Bacterial small subunit ribosomal RNA", at positions 83 to 587 of the family's 1533-position model. Lineage: Bacteria; Pseudomonadati; Pseudomonadota; Alphaproteobacteria; Rhodobacterales; Paracoccaceae. The record is from RNAcentral.
UCUUCGGACUUAGCGGCGGACGGGUGAGUAACGCGUGGGAACGUACCCUUUGGUACGGAAUAGCCCCGGGAAACUGGGAGUAAUACCGUAUGGUGUCUUCGGACUAAAGAUUUAUCGCCAAAGGAUCGGCCCGCGUUGGAUUAGGUAGUUGGUGGGGUAAUGGCCUACCAAGCCGACGAUCCAUAGCUGGUUUGAGAGGAUGAUCAGCCACACUGGGACUGAGACACGGCCCAGACUCCUACGGGAGGCAGCAGUGGGGAAUCUUAGACAAUGGGCGCAAGCCUGAUCUAGCCAUGCCGCGUGAGUGAUGAAGGCCCUAGGGUUGUAAAGCUCUUUCAGCUGGGAAGAUAAUGACGGUACCAGCAGAAGAAGCCCCGGCUAACUCCGUGCCAGCAGCCGCGGUAAUACGGAGGGGGCUAGCGUUGUUCGGAAUUACUGGGCGUAAAGCGCGCGUAGGCGGAUUGAAAAG